Non-coding RNA from Herpetosiphon aurantiacus DSM 785, 149 nucleotides. Lineage: Bacteria; Bacillati; Chloroflexota; Chloroflexia; Herpetosiphonales; Herpetosiphonaceae. The record is from Rfam.
CCUGCUGUUCCACCAGCAGUACCCUACUCGGUACUGCGGGACGGUAACGUCCCGUGGAAAGCCCGAGGACAACGUAUCCACGACCGACUGGUCGGGACAAGGGCUGUAAAGCGCUUGUCAAUCUGCAAGCAUCAUCAGCGGAUAGGAAC